Acanthosepion pharaonis is the source of this 89-nucleotide non-coding RNA. The record is from the annotation of a GenBank genome assembly. Lineage: Eukaryota; Metazoa; Mollusca; Cephalopoda; Sepiida; Sepiidae.
UUGUAACACCUAUUCCCGUAUGAUCACUGAAGUUAAGCAGUGUUGAGCCUAAUCAGAUGGGUGACCACUUGGGAAUACCAGGUGUCAUA